Molecule: ribosomal RNA, 468 nt
Filed under: uncultured bacterium
Lineage: Bacteria
Description: bacterial SSU rRNA
Rfam family: Bacterial small subunit ribosomal RNA
Source: RNAcentral
UAAGGAAUAUUGGUCAAUGGACGAAAGUCUGAACCAGCCAUCCCGCGUGCAGGAAGAAGGGGCUCUGCCUUGUAAACUGCUUUUGAAUGGGACGAAAGAGCUAUAUGCGUAUAGUGUUGACGGUACCAUUAGAAUAAGCACCGGCUAACUCCGUGCCAGCAGCCGCGGUAAUACGGAGGGUGCAAGCGUUAUCCGGAAUCACUGGGUUUAAAGGGUGCGUAGGCGGUUUGAUAAGUCAGUUGUGAAAUUCUCCGGCUUAACCGGGUGGACUGCGAUUGAUACUGUUGGACUUGAAUUAGGUUGAGGUAGGCGGAAUGUGGCAUGUAGCGGUGAAAUGCAUAGAUAUGCCAUAGAACACCGAUUGCGAAGGCAGCUUGCUGGACCUAUAUUGACGCUGAGGCACGAAAGCGUGGGGAGCAAACAGGAUUAGAUACCCUUGUAGUCCCUGAGCGGGCUGGCAAGGCGCAU